CGGCGUGCUUAACACAUGCAAGUCGAGCGAUGAAUCCCGUUCGGGAUGGAUUAGCGGCGGACGGGUGAGUAACACGUGGGUAACCUGCCUCAUAGAGGGGAAUAGCCUUUCGAAAGGAAGAUUUAAUACCGCAUAAGAUUGUAGUUUCGCAUGAAACAGCAAUUAAAGGAGUAAUCCGCUAUGAGAUGGACCCGCGUCGCAUUAGCUAGUUGGUGAGGUAACGGCUCACCAAGGCGACGAUGCGUAGCCGACCUGAGAGGGUGAUCGGCCACAUUGGGACUGAGACACGGCCCAGACUCCUACGGGAGGCAGCAGUGGGGAAUAUUGCACAAUGGGGGAAACCCUGAUGCAAGCAACGCCGCGUGAGUGAUGACGGUCUUCGGAUUGUAAAGCUCUGUCUUUAGGGACGAUAAUGACGGUACCUAAGGAGGAAGCCACGGCUAACUACGUGCCAGCAGCCGC
This 462-nucleotide ribosomal RNA is filed under the name uncultured bacterium. RNAcentral's name for it is "bacterial SSU rRNA". It matches the Rfam family "Bacterial small subunit ribosomal RNA", at positions 40 to 518 of the family's 1533-position model. The record is from RNAcentral.